GCAAGUCGAACGGGAACAUUUCUAGCUUGCUAGGAGAUGACGAGUGGCGGACGGGUGAGUAAUGCUUAGGAAUAUGCCUUUGGGCGGGGGAUAACUAUUGGAAACGAUAGCUAAUACCGCAUAACGUCUACGGACCACAGGGGGGACUUGUUCCUCUCGCCCAAAGAGUAGCCUAAGUGAGAUUAGCUAGUUGGUGAGGUAAAGGCUCACCAAGGCGACGAUCUCUAGCUGGUCUGAGAGGAAGAUC
RNAcentral lists this ribosomal RNA (247 nucleotides) under uncultured bacterium. RNAcentral's name for it is "partial 16S ribosomal RNA". It matches the Rfam family "Bacterial small subunit ribosomal RNA", at positions 57 to 305 of the family's 1533-position model. The record is from RNAcentral.